This 253-nucleotide ribosomal RNA is filed under the name uncultured bacterium. RNAcentral's name for it is "partial 16S ribosomal RNA". It matches the Rfam family "Bacterial small subunit ribosomal RNA", at positions 524 to 776 of the family's 1533-position model. The record is from RNAcentral.
UACGAAGGGUGCAAGCGUUAAUCGGAAUUACUGGGCGUAAAGCGUGCGUAGGUGGUUUCUUAAGUCUGCUGUGAAAGCCCUGGGCUCAACCUGGGAAUGGCGGUGGAUACUGAGGAGCUAGAGUGCGGUAGAGGAGGGUGGAAUUCCCGGUGUAGCGGUGAAAUGCGUAGAGAUCGGGAGGAACAUCAGUGGCGAAGGCGGCCCUCUGGACCAGCACUGACACUGAGGCACGAAAGCGUGGGGAGCAAACAGG